This 595-nucleotide long non-coding RNA is filed under the name Prunus persica (peach). Its description in RNAcentral is "long non-coding RNA (PPER_LNC001350)". Lineage: Eukaryota; Viridiplantae; Streptophyta; Magnoliopsida; Rosales; Rosaceae. The record is from RNAcentral.
GAAAACAGGGCUCAGGUUUUGCUUGAAAUCGAGCCCUAAAUUUGUGGUUUUGAUCUCCAAGAUGUACGAGGUUUUGAAGAGGGAAGAGAGACGAAGAUUUUGGUGGUGGUGGCGUCAUUGGAUUCAACUUGAUGGCAACGGAAUCGCGGUCUGAAACUCUUUCGUCGCGGUGACAGAGAAAUGUAGGAGAGAGAGUCAUGUCGGAGGAGAGAGAGAGCUGCCAUCUUAAUAAAAUCUGACUUCAGAAAAAUUACGGUUAUGCUACUACACUUCCGUUGACCAUAACUUCUUUGUUAAAACUCUGAUUUGGGCUCACUACGUGUCUACGAACUCGUAUCUACGAGCUCUGUGCAACAAUGCCAUUCAUUUCCCUACAAUCCUAUCGAAUUGAAAAGUUACCAAAAUAACCUUACCCGAAGGACAAAAUUGUAAUUUCACAAUCAAAUAAUUUAAAUAAAUGGUUAAAAUUGGGUCGGGGUGUCACUAUUAUAGUUACCAAAACUUGGUAAUUGUGACCUCUUGACUUGGACCUGGCCUCUCGACUCUUGCUUUCGGCCAAAGACCCAGUUCAAGGUUCAAGACCUUCAUAUCCAAA